GAGCGGCGGACGGGUGAGUAACGCGUGGGUAACCUGCCCUGUACACACGGAUAACAUACCGAAAGGUAUGCUAAUACGGGAUAACAUAAGAAAGUCACAUGGCUUUCUUAUCAAAGCUCCGGCGGUACAGGAUGGACCCGCGUCUGAUUAGCUAGUUGGUAAGGUAACGGCUUACCAAGGCGACGAUCAGUAGCCGACCUGAGAGGGUGAUCGGCCACAUUGGAACUGAGACACGGUCCAAACUCCUACGGGAGGCAGCAGUGGGGAAUAUUGCACAAUGGGCGAAAGCCUGAUGCAGCAACGCCGCGUGAGCGAUGAAGGCCUUCGGGUCGUAAAGCUCUGUCCUCAAGGAAGAUAAUGACGGUACUUGAGGAGGAAGCCCCGGCUAACUACGUGCCAGCAGCCGCGGUAAUACGUAGGGGGCUAGCGUUAUCCGGAAUUACUGGGCGUAAAGGGUGCGUAGGCGGUCUUUCAAGCCAGAAGUGAAAGGCUACGGCUCAACCGUAGUAAGCUUUUGGAACCGUAGGACUUGAGUGCAGGAGAGGAGAGUAGAAUUCCUAGUGUAGCGGUGAAAUGCGUAGAUAUUAGGAGGAAUACCAGUAGCGAAGGCGGCUCUCUGGACUGUAACUGACGCUGAGGCACGAAAGCGUGGGGAGCAAACAGGAUUAGAUACCCUGGUAGUCCACGCCGUAAACGAUG
This 699-nucleotide ribosomal RNA is filed under the name uncultured bacterium. RNAcentral's name for it is "bacterial SSU rRNA". It matches the Rfam family "Bacterial small subunit ribosomal RNA", at positions 93 to 811 of the family's 1533-position model. The record is from RNAcentral.